Long non-coding RNA from Peromyscus californicus insignis, 3673 nucleotides. RefSeq lists it as uncharacterized. Lineage: Eukaryota; Metazoa; Chordata; Mammalia; Rodentia; Cricetidae. The record is from RefSeq and is a predicted model, not a curated record. The transcript has 4 exons.
AAGGUCAUUUCAGGGAGCUAUGGGUUUGUUUUGAUUGGGUCUGGGCUGGAAGCAAGUCCAGUGAUGUCAGUACAACCACUGGCGAACCCUGUGGAGUUGGUUACCUCAGAAACACCCAAGGCUCACUGCGCAUCAGGGUAUCACCUGGAAUCCUUCCAUCCGUCCAAGAGUACACAACAUGGGGCUUGAAGACCUACGUUUUCAAAGGAGCAAUGUGGAGAAGGAGUCUCACAGCUGGAAGGUGAACGUGGGAGAGACGUCGUGGAGGAGCAGGAAGCGGCUGGCUGCAGUGUGUCUGCAGUCGGGAAGCAGACAGCGCUGGGCAGCGGAGCUCAGCUGGCUCUCUCUUUUGGGUCAGCCUGGAACCUUAGCUGGAGGGGUGGUGCUGCCCACAUUCAGGUCAGAUCUGUUCCCCUGUCAGUCAAGCCUCUCUAGACACCUUCAUCAGCAUUCCCAGGGGGUGUUUUCUUUUCUUUUCUUUUCCUUCUUUCUUUCUUUCUUUCUUUCUUUCUUUCUUUCUUUCUUUCUUUCUUUCUUUCUUUCUUUCUUUCUUUCUUUCUUUUAAAGAUUUAUUUAUUUAUUAUGUACACAGAAGAGGGCGCCAGAUCUCAUUACAGAUGGUUGGGAGCCACCAUGUGGGUGCUGGGAAUUGAACUCAGGACCUCUGGAAGAGCAGCCAGUGCUCUUAACCUCAGAGCCAUCUCUCCAGCCCCCGAGGUGUGUUUUCAUAAUGACCUUAAAUCCAGCAAACGGAAGAUGAAGCCAAACCAUCACACCUUCCAACUGCUGUGUAAUGUUAGAAAACCCCAGAACCAACUCACAGUUCAUGGUGUUAGUCAAGUGUCUGUGAAGGGGCUGGUGAGAAGCCUCAGCAGGUAAAAACGCUAAUAUGAGUUUGAGCCCUAGGUCCCGUGUAGUGGAAGAAAAGGACUAACUCCUAAAACUUGUCCUCUGACCUCACAUGCUUACACCACACACACACACACACACACACACACACACACACACACACACACACACACACAUUAAACACAUAAAUUUUUUUGAAAUCAACACAAGAGUAUCUCUGAAGAUGUACGCAAAGUCAACCAGAACAGUCAGGAAAUACUGCACAAUUGGAUUUUAUGAGGUGCACAGAAUUGUCAAGUUCAGAGACAGUAGGCGAGCUAGAGAUUGCUGGGUCUGGGAGGGGAUGUGAGUCAUGUUUCAGCGGGUACAGAGUUCCAGUCCGGGAAGAUGAAAAGGCUGGAAGGUAGACUAUGGUGACAGCUGCAUGCCGAUGUGAAUUUAGUUAAUGCCGCUGGACUACACACUUAAAAAUGGUGACACUGGGGCGGGAAAGAUGACAGUUGCACAGUAAGAGCACACACUGCUCGUGCAAAAGCCCCAGGUCCCAGCACUGGCGCAGGGUAACUACCGUUCCAGGGGAUCUCAUACCUGGACUCCCUGGGCAGCAGGCACACAUGUGAUGCACACACAGACACAAAGACUAUGUGGUUUGGAUAAGAACUGCCCCCAUAGAGGCUUAUAUGUUCGAAUGCUUGGUCCUCAGUUGGUGGAACUGUUUGGGAAGGGAUUAGGAGGUGUGACCUUGUUGGAGGAGGUGUGCCACUGGGGGUAGGCUUUGAGACCUCGGAAGCUUCAGGACAUCUCCAGGGUACUCUGUUUCCUGCUGACAGUUGGACAAGUGAGCUCCCAGAUGUUCCUGCUGCCACACCUUCACCCUGCCAUCAUGGACUCUGACCCUCCAGAGCUGUCUGGUUCUCUGUGAGAAGGAGCUGAGACACACUUCAGAGGUGUAAGUGUUUAUUAAGGGCCAACACCUGUGAAGGGGAGCGGCUGGAAACUGAAGGGGCAAGACACCUCUACAGCACGCAGUCUGCAGGAGCACCCUGCGGCAGGCAGCGAUGGCUGACUUUUGACCUCCGGCAUUCUCCGUGGCUGGGUGUGGGUCGCCCAGGGAAGAAUGUGUCCUCAGGUGAGGCAGCCUGCUGAGGCCGAGGCAGAUCCCGAAGGAACUGGCCCCUGAGUCCGGCUGUUGACUGCAUAUCCAGGGGGAGGUCAGCAAGCCCUCCCUGGGAAGCUAGGAGCACAUCUCUCAGUCUGCCCCUCUGCUCCCAGUGGGCAAAACAAAGGCCCAGAGAGACCAAACAUUUCAAGGUUAUGUCAUAAAUUACAGCCAUCCCAGAUCUGUCUGACUCAAAACCUGUCUCUCUCCCAGCUAUCCCCAGCUUUUCUCCAACAAAGCUUACAUCAGACUGUCCUGACCUUCAGUUGCGGAGACAGGAAGGUCUGGAAGCCUCCAGAGGAAUAUGCAGAAAGUUUGGCUGUGACUCUCACCCCAGGGGAUGGCACUGCCUACAUUCAGGAAGGCCUUGCUGUGAGUUAUCCUCUCUGGGAUCAUCCUCACAGACAAUCACCAGUGAGCCUCCCCUGUCUCCCAAGUCGUUCUAAAUCCAGUCAGGUUGAAGGGGGACUGAACAGCAUACUGCCCAUCAUGGAGCUAACCACUGAACAGGCUGGUCUCUUACAGUCUAAGGUCUCUAGGGCUGACAGCAGGGCAGAACAAUCAAGUGUCUUGGUUCCCUCCUUCUGUCUGGCCAGUAGGUCUGUCUAGGCCAGCAUGAUGGAGUCCAGGCUUCAGUGACCUAGGAGUACUAAUGAACAGCAGGGGCCCAACCCCUCAUAAGGUUCUGCCCCACAUCUCCAUCUUACUAACAUGUCUGUUCCAAGUCUCCUCCGCCUCAUUGAUCUCUUGAUGGCCCCUUCUUCCCCUCUAAAGGAUUUUAGAAAGCCAGAAUUACAUCCCCGCCCCCAGUCUCUUCCUCCCUUCUACCACACUGAGCUGCAGACCCAGCCUUCCAAGCAUCUUCUCCUGUCUGUUGGUGCUAAGCUGGUUCAGCACCUGGGACCUGGACAGCUCCCCACCUCCAAACAGAACUGUACCAUGUGUUCAGUCACUAAGUCCCAGUUCAAAAAGCAUCCCAGGGCCAGAGCCGCCCAACUCUGUUGUGAAAUACUAGUUUAAGGUGUGUUACAUCCGUUUGUGCUGUGGAACAUUUGUUUAAUGAUGCAGAGAUGUGUUGCAUUCUUUUGUUGCAUUUGUUUAACUCUGUGAAGCCGUGCUACUCUAUCUGCCUAAAAUGCCUGAUUGGUCUAAUAAAGAGCUGAACGGCCAAUAGCAAGGCAGGAGAGUGAUAGGUGGGGCUGCCAGGCAGAGAGAAUAGAUAGGAAGAGAAAUCUAAGGAUGAACUAGAAGAGUGAGGAGAAAAGGAGAGGAGGAUGCCAGGGGCCAGCCAUCCAGCCACACACAGACACAGACUAAGAAGGGAAGAAGACAUACAGAAUAAAGAAAGGUAAAAAGCCCAGAAGCAAAAUGUGGAAGAGAAAUGGGGUACCUUAAGUUAGAAAAGCUGGCUAGAAACAAGCCAAGUUAGGGCCAGGCAUUCAUAAGUAAGAAUAAGUCUCCGUGUACUUAUUUGGGAGCUGGGUGGCGGGCUCCCAAAGAAUAAAACAACAACAACAACAAAACUACACAACUCCCCACAUCCGUACAUCUCAGUGUGACCCAUGAACUCGGAAGAGCCAGUCCCCGGUAACAUCCAAGCCCCGCCUUCAUCCCUCCUCAUUCCCAGAAGGUGCCUAUGGAAGCCUGCUGUUCUGUACUGUGUCC